GAGUAAGUAGCUUUAUUUGGAUUAGAAGCGUCAACACUGAUAAGGUUGAAGGAAGGGUGUUCGAGUCUCCCUCUUACUACA
RNAcentral lists this transfer RNA (81 nucleotides) under Podoviridae sp. ctY3D12. Its description in RNAcentral is "tRNA-OTHER". Lineage: Duplodnaviria; Heunggongvirae; Uroviricota; Caudoviricetes. The record is from RNAcentral.